Molecule: long non-coding RNA, 3351 nt
Filed under: Sus scrofa (pig)
Lineage: Eukaryota; Metazoa; Chordata; Mammalia; Artiodactyla; Suidae
Description: lncRNA (ENSSSCG00035028163.1)
Source: RNAcentral
CGGCAAUGCAGAUCCUUAACCCACUAGGGGCCAGGGAUCGAACCCCCAUCCUCAUGGAUCCUAGUCGGGUUUGUUAACCACUGAGCCAUGAAGGGAACUCCAAAUUAUCUUCUUAAUUGUAGAGAAUUUCCGGGGGGGGGGGGAACCUGAAAAAAGGCUAAACCAUGGCUUUGAUGAGUCUCAAGGACCACAGAUCCAUCACGUCCUAUUAGAAGACUUAGCCCCCCUGGAGAGUUCUAGCCUUCACAGGACACUCGAUAACAAGACCCCACAGGGCUCCACACAACUGCACCAAGAAUACCUCCACCGCUGCCCGUGGCUGAUUCUUUGGACCACGCGGUCCUGCUGGCACACAGGGCAACUCUUCUGGUGCACCCAGAGACAUGCAGCAGUUGUGGAAGGAAUGGUUACAUUCCACCACCACCACCCCCCCCCCCCCCCCCCCCCCCGCCACCACAACACAAUCCUCCCGUUUUCGGCUUAACAUCUAAGCCAGGCAUCCCUCACCUGGACCCUGCAGACGGCGGCGCACGUGUCGCCCUCCACGUCCCAGCUCCACGUGGCCACCGCGUUCCACGUCUCGGAGGGAACAUUUUGCCGCCUCCCGACGCGGUCCCUGCGCUCCCUCCGACGGGACGCGGAGCUCCUGGGCGUCUUCCACGUCGCCCUCGGAGGCUGCGGAGGCUGCGCGAUGCCGGCAACGGAGACGUGAGGUCGCAGGAGGCGGGCGACUACGGCGGCUCCCUGGGGCCGCCCGACCAGCCAAAGCGCUGCCGGCAGACUGCAGGCCACCGUGGGGCCCACGAUGCCCCCCCGACCACACACACACUCCAAAGAUUAUUAUUUCCUCUCCCUGUUCCCGUAAGAGUAGACUGACAUUGGUGUAAAGAACUGGCCCGUCUUCCAGCAGCGGUAUGACGGCCUUGGUUUUCGGGAUGCUAUGGGGAACCCACGUCGCCUUGCUCUUCUGUCUCCCUCGCCGUUGGCACCAGCCUCAUACCAUCCCAUCACCUGCUUAUUGCCAUUGCUACUAAUCACUCUCUACUCUUCUCUGGACCCGCUCUGAUUUAUUCUCCACUCAGCAGAAGGGGGGCUUUUAAAUUAAACUUCAAGUCUCAUCGUUUUAUUUCACUGUUGAAAAACCUUUAAUAACUUCUCAUUGUUCUUGGGGAAAAAGACCAACCCGGCCACUGAGGUUCCCGGGCCUUGCGCACUCGGGCCCCGCUGAGCUCCCAGCUGCCUCGCUCCUGACUCUCCUCCUCCUCCCUCUGGGCCACUCUGGACUUCGCGGACACCCCAUGGCUCCUCCUGCCUGGAUGGAGGCCUUGUAGCCAUGCCCUUCAGGCCAUUCUCAGUCUCUUCCCCCUAGAGCCCUGUCAAAUCCGAAAAAGAAAUUCUUCAUGAUUGUAUUAGGAUCUAUAAAGCUUGUCGUUAAUUACAGAAGAAUGAACAUACCGGCAAUGUUUACUCUUCUCACUCAGGAGUGGGGUUCUCCACUUAUUCAUACUUUCGUAUCACUUAGCAGAGUUCUAUAAUUUUCUUCUAAGAUCCAUUCAGUUCUUACUAGAAUUAUCCUUAGGUUUUGUUGCUCUUUGCGACUGGAGUCUUUCUUCCCAUGCAGAGCGGGAUGCGAUCCAGUUUCUUUGUUUUAUUGAAUCUAUGUUUCUAAAGCAGAGACGACACAGAGGAGAAAAGAGCAAGUCUUUCCACCUACAGUUACUUACAUGCACUCACCUGUUUAGGCGAUGAUUUAACGAUAACUGAUUGGCAUUUUCACUGGUCUUGAAUUCAGUACAAUUUCCCCUUGAUGUUACCACUAAUGUGCCAGGCAGUCCUAAUUUUAGUUUUCUUCUUGCUUGGGCAUUCUUAGGUACUCUAGUAAGAAUUUGCAAGAGUCACCUUGGGAACUCACCAAAUUUCAUUGUGUAGCAAAUGUUUUGUUCUCACGGCGUUUUCAAACAGGUCCCGGCUCUCCCAGAAUACUUUCAUGGCUAUGUGUAUUUUGCCAUAUUAUCCGCAGUGAUAUCUUGACCGAUUGUGCCAAACAUUUUCCUAAAACCAAGAAAUGCUCAUUCUGUGUUACUCCUCUGACCUCCCAGCUCAGUAAAAUGCUUUCAUAAAAGAUGAGGUUAGUCUGGCAUGAGUUAUUCCUGGUGAUUCCAUGUCUUCUAGAGUCAACACAUUCCUUUCAAAGUGUUCAUAAGACAUCUGCUUUAAAUUCAUUCUAUAAUUUAACCAAACAUUGACCGAAGUUAGUAGUCUGUAGUUUCUGGGGUUCACCCCUUUUCCUAACUUGUAACAUUUACUUGACAUUAACUUUUUGAUUCUUGUUGUACAUGAUUUUUUCUUUAACAAAUUACCAGUCGCAGUGUAAUCAGUGACUCCCUGAUUACAUAUUUGAAUUCCUCCAGCACCAGGGAGGAAACUUGGCUGCACCUGAAGACGUAAACUUACGGCGUGAAUUAAGGCUCCCUCUCCAUUUCCAGACAUUUGUUAUAUAGAUUGUGCUCCUCUGUUAGAAUCCAGGGACUCUCCAGAGAACCAGCAGCUGUGGGGAUGUUCUUGUCUUUACCAGGAAAACUGUCUUAAACCCGCACAGAAAAUAAAGUGUUUUCUGACUUGGAAUCAACAACGGCAUCCAGACUCAUGCAGGCGGGGUUCACUCUGGAUGCUCUUCCUGGCUUUGAAAUUUCUGAGCUUCAUCGCCUCCCUGUUUCCUCUUGCCAAAACUGCCCAUGCGCCAUGCCCAUUUUGAAUUUCCACCUCAGACUUCUGGAUUUAUGUCUUGUCCCUAAUGCUUGAAUGGGACCUGGCAUGAGGGCCUUAGACACAUGCCCCUGUCCUGCUGUAUCUGGAUGAGCCAUCCCACAGCCAGCUCUUAGGUCUCUAUGCCACACCCCCUCUGGCCUGCCCUGUCCUCACUGCCAGUAGGGGUUCCACUGUACUUUCUCUCCAUGGCGUCACUCUGGGCAGCAGGGGCCCCAGGUGUCUUUCCCAGGCUCCAUGAAUAUCAUGAAUUUGUCAAGCCAGCAUGCUCUGCAGACUGCAUGGCUCUACUACAUCCCAGGACUAAGGUACCAUUCCCCACCCACCUCCUCCCUGGUCAAUUCAGUUCUUGUCAGAAGAUGCUGUUUGGCUUCUUUGCACCACACAGACUGGACCUGGCCACAUGUUGAAAAUUAAUAAAUGUUUAUUGAAAUGAUUUAAGUAACAACGAUCUCUCUGCCUUCAUUUUGAGGAAAGCUCUGUAAGUUUUGCAGCUGCCCAUUUUCACAAACCAGGUGUAUUCUCCUGAAGCACAGGAGAUCCAUUUCGGCUCCAUUCAUGAUCAAUGCUGAGACACAGCUCUCU